Molecule: ribosomal RNA, 1146 nt
Filed under: uncultured bacterium
Lineage: Bacteria
Description: bacterial SSU rRNA
Rfam family: Bacterial small subunit ribosomal RNA
Source: RNAcentral
UACAGGCUUAACACAUGCAAGUCGAGGGGCAGCAUGGUCUUAUCUUGCUAAGGCCGAUGGCGACCGGCGCACGGGUGAGUAACACGUAUCCAACCUGCCGUCUACUCUUGGACAGCCUUCUGAAAGGAAAAUUAAUACAAGAUGGCAUCAUGACUCCGCAUGUUCACAUGAUUAAAGGUAUUCCGGUAGACGAUGGGGAUGCGUUCCAUUAGAUAGUAGGCGGGGUAACGGCCCACCUAUUCUUCGAUGGAUAGGGGUUCUGAGAGGACGGUCCCCCACAUUGGAACUGAGACACGGUCCAAACUCCUACGGGAGGCAGCAGUGAGGAAUAUUGGUCAAUGGGCGAGAGCCUGAACCAGCCAAGUAGCGUGAAGGAUGACUGCCCUAUGGGUUGUAAACUUCUUUUAUAAAGGAAUAAAGUCGGGUAUGCAUACCCGUUUGCAUGUACUUUAUGAAUAAGGAUCGGCUAACUCCGUGCCAGCAGCCGCGGUAAUACGGAGGAUCCGAGCGUUAUCCGGAUUUAUUGGGUUUAAAGGGAGCGUAGAUGGAUGUUUAAGUCAGUUGUGAAAGUUUGCGGCUCAACCGUAAAAUUGCAGUUGAUACUGGAUAUCUUGAGUGCAGUUGAGGCAGGCGGAAUUCGUGGUGUAGCGGUGAAAUGCUUAGAUAUCACGAAGAACUCCGAUUGCGAAGGCAGCCUGCUAAGCUGCAACUGACAUUGAGGCUCGAAAGUGUGGGUAUCAAACAGGAUUAGAUACCCUGGUAGUCCACACGGUAAACGAUAAAUGGUCGCUGUUUGGCGAUAUACAGCAAGCGGCCAAGCGAAAGCGUUAAGUAUUCCACCUGGGGAGUACGCCGGCAACGGUGAAACUCAAAGGAAUUGACGGGGGCCCGCACAAGCGGAGGAACAUGUGGUUUAAUUCGAUGAUACGCGAGGAACCUUACCCGGGCUUAAAUUGCAGAUGAAUUACGGUGAAAGCCGUAAGCCGCAAGGCAUCUGUGAAGGUGCUGCAUGGUUGUCGUCAGCUCGUGCCGUGAGGUGUCGGCUUAAGUGCCAUAACGAGCGCAACCCUUGUUGUCAGUUACUAACAGGUUCCGCUGAGGACUCUGACAAGACUGCCAUCGUAAGAUGUGAGGAAGGUGGGGGUG